GAUGAAGAACGCAGCGAAAUGCGAUACUUGGUGUGAAUUGCAGAAUCCCGUGAACCAUCGAGUCUUUGAACGCAAGUUGCGCCCGAAGCCACUAGGCCGAGGGCACGCCUGCCUGGGCGUCACACGCCGUUGCCCCCCCAUCUACUCCUUCGGGAUUGCGGGGGGGCGGAUGAUGGCCUCCUGUGCGCCUAGCCGCGCGGUUGGCAUAAAUACCAAGUCCUCGGCGACGCACGCCACGACAAUCGGUGGUUGCGAAACCUCGGUUGCCCGUCGUGUGCGUUCGUCGCGCAUCGAGGGCUCGAAAAAAUGCUCGGCUCCGGCUGGGCUUUCAACGCGACCCCAGGUCAGGCGGGGUUACCCGCUGAAUUUAAGCAUAUCAAUAAGCGGAGG
RNAcentral lists this unclassified non-coding RNA (390 nucleotides) under soil metagenome. RNAcentral describes it as "partial contains 5.8S ribosomal RNA, internal transcribed spacer 2, and large subunit ribosomal RNA". The stretch from base 1 to 122 matches the Rfam family "5.8S ribosomal RNA", at positions 35 to 154 of the family's 154-position model. The record is from RNAcentral.